AGGCUGAAACUCGCCUACAUGAGGCUGGAAUUGCUAGUAAUCACAGGUCAGCAUACUGUGGUGAAUACGUUCCCGGGCCUUGUACACACCGCCCGUCACACCAUGAGAGUUGAGAAUACCCGAAGCCCAUGUCAAAGUGGUCGAAGGUAGGCUUGAUGAUUGGGGUGAAGUCGUAACAAGGUAUC
RNAcentral lists this ribosomal RNA (185 nucleotides) under uncultured bacterium. RNAcentral describes it as "partial 16S ribosomal RNA". It matches the Rfam family "Bacterial small subunit ribosomal RNA", at positions 1302 to 1500 of the family's 1533-position model. The record is from RNAcentral.